AUUGAACGCUGGCGGCAUGCCUUACACAUGCAAGUCGAACGGCAGCGGGCCUUCGGGUGCCGACGAGUGGCGAACGGGUGAGUAAUGCAUCGGAACGUACCUUUCAGUGGGGGAUAACGUAGCGAAAGUUACGCUAAUACCGCAUAUUCUGUGAGCAGGAAAGCAGGGGAUCGCAAGACCUUGCGCUGAUUGAGCGGCCGAUGUCAGAUUAGCUAGUUGGUGAGGUAAAGGCUCACCAAGGCGACGAUCUGUAGCGGGUCUGAGAGGAUGAUCCGCCACACUGGAACUGAGACACGGUCCAGACUCCUACGGGAGGCAGCAGUGGGGAAUUUUUGGACAAAUGGGGGGCAACCCUGAUCCAGCCAUGCCGCGUGAGUGAAGAAGGCCUUCGGUUGGUUAAAGGACGUCUUUCGGUCCGGGACGGAAAUAC
This 430-nucleotide ribosomal RNA is filed under the name uncultured bacterium. RNAcentral's name for it is "bacterial SSU rRNA". It matches the Rfam family "Bacterial small subunit ribosomal RNA", at positions 30 to 454 of the family's 1533-position model. The record is from RNAcentral.